AUGAAGAACGUAGCGAAAUGCGAUACGUAAUGUGAAUUGCAGAAUUCAGUGAAUCAUCGAGUCUUUGAACGCACAUUGCGCCCCCUGGUAUUCCGGGGGGCAUGCCUGUCCGAGCGUCAUUGCUGCCCUCAAGCACGGCUUGUGUGUUGGGCCCCGCCCCCCGGCUCCCGGGGGGCGGGCCCGAAAGGCAGCGGCGGCACCGCGUCCGGUCCUCGAGCGUAUGGGGCUUCGUCACCCGCUCCGUAGGCCCGGCCGGCGCCCGCCGGCGACCCCCCUCAAUCUUUUCAGGUUGACCUCGGAUCAGGUAGGGAUACCCGCUGAACUUAAGCAUAUCAAUAAGCGGAGGA
RNAcentral lists this unclassified non-coding RNA (347 nucleotides) under soil metagenome. RNAcentral describes it as "partial contains 5.8S ribosomal RNA, internal transcribed spacer 2, and large subunit ribosomal RNA". The stretch from base 1 to 119 matches the Rfam family "5.8S ribosomal RNA", at positions 36 to 154 of the family's 154-position model. The record is from RNAcentral.